GUACACGUAGUCCACAUGCCCAGGGGACGUGGAUAACCUCGGGAAACUGAGGAUAAACCGCGAUAGGUCACUACUUCUGGAAUGGGUAAUGACUCAAACCUAUAUGGCCCCUGGAUUGGACUGCGGCCGAUCAGGCUGUUGGUGAGGUAAUGGCCCACCAAACCUGUAACCGGUACGGGCUCUGAGAGGAGGAGCCCGGAGAUGGGCACUGAGACAAGGGCCCAGGCCCUAUGGGGCGCAGCAGGCGCGAAACCUCUGCAAUAGGCGAAAGCCUGACAGGGUUACUCUGAGUGAUCUCCGUUAAGGAGAUCUUUUGGCACCUCUAAAAAUGGUGCAGAAUAAGGGGUGGGCAAGUCUGGUGUCAGCCGCCGCGGUAAUACCAGCACCCCGAGUGGUCGGGACGUUUAUUGGGCCUAAAGCAUCCGUAGCCGGUUCUACAAGUCUUCCGUUAAAUCCAGCUGCUUAACAGAUGGGCUGCGGAAGAUACUAUGGAGCU
RNAcentral lists this ribosomal RNA (496 nucleotides) under uncultured archaeon. Its description in RNAcentral is "bacterial SSU rRNA". It matches the Rfam family "Archaeal small subunit ribosomal RNA", at positions 94 to 593 of the family's 1478-position model. The record is from RNAcentral.